AUUGACUUAGCGGCGGACGGGUGAGUAACGCGUGGGUAACCUGCCUUACACUGGGGGAUAACAGUUAGAAAUGACUGCUAAUACCGCAUAAGCGCACAGGGCCGCAUGGUCUGGUGUGAAAAACUCCGGUGGUGUAAGAUGGACCCGCGUCUGAUUAGGUAGUUGGUGGGGUAACGGCCCACCAAGCCGACGAUCAGUAGCCGACCUGAGAGGGUGACCGGCCACAUUGGGACUGAGACACGGCCCAAACUCCUACGGGAGGCAGCAUG
RNAcentral lists this ribosomal RNA (269 nucleotides) under uncultured bacterium. RNAcentral describes it as "partial 16S ribosomal RNA". It matches the Rfam family "Bacterial small subunit ribosomal RNA", at positions 86 to 353 of the family's 1533-position model. The record is from RNAcentral.